This 1487-nucleotide ribosomal RNA is filed under the name metagenome. RNAcentral describes it as "bacterial SSU rRNA". It matches the Rfam family "Bacterial small subunit ribosomal RNA". The record is from RNAcentral.
AGAGUUUGAUCCUGGCUCAGGACGAACGCUGGCGGCGUGCUUAACACAUGCAAGUCGAACGAGAAUCUACUGAAAGAGUUUUCGGACAAUGGAUGUAGAGGAAAGUGGCGGACGGGUGAGUAACGCGUGAGGAACCUGCCUUGAAGAGGGGGACAACAGUUGGAAACGACUGCUAAUACCGCAUGACGCAUAGGGGUCGCAUGAUCUUUAUGCCAAAGAUUUAUCGCUUCAAGAUGGCCUCGCGUCUGAUUAGCUAGUUGGCGGGGUAACGGCCCACCAAGGCGACGAUCAGUAGCCGGACUGAGAGGUUGAACGGCCACAUUGGGACUGAGAUACGGCCCAGACUCCUACGGGAGGCAGCAGUGGGGAAUAUUGGGCAAUGGGCGCAAGCCUGACCCAGCAACGCCGCGUGAAGGAAGAAGGCUUUCGGGUUGUAAACUUCUUUUAAGAGGGAAGAGCAGAAGACGGUACCUCUAGAAUAAGCCACGGCUAACUACGUGCCAGCAGCCGCGGUAAUACGUAGGUGGCAAGCGUUGUCCGGAUUUACUGGGUGUAAAGGGCGUGCAGCCGGGUCUGCAAGUCAGAUGUGAAAUCCAUGGGCUCAACCCGUGAACUGCAUUUGAAACUGUAGAUCUUGAGUGUCGGAGGGGCAAUCGGAAUUCCUAGUGUAGCGGUGAAAUGCGUAGAUAUUAGGAGGAACACCAGUGGCGAAGGCGGAUUGCUGGACGAUAACUGACGGUGAGGCGCGAAAGUGUGGGGAGCAAACAGGAUUAGAUACCCUGGUAGUCCACACUGUAAACGAUGAAUACUAGGUGUGCGGGGACUGACCCCCUGCGUGCCGCAGUAAACACAAUAAGUAUUCCACCUGGGGAGUACGAUCGCAAGGUUGAAACUCAAAGGAAUUGACGGGGGCCCGCACAAGCGGUGGAUUAUGUGGUUUAAUUCGAAGCAACGCGAAGAACCUUACCAGGGUUUGACAUCCUGCUAACGAAGUAGAGAUACAUUAGGUGCCCCUCGGGGAAAGCAGAGACAGGUGGUGCAUGGUUGUCGUCAGCUCGUGUCGUGAGAUGUUGGGUUAAGUCCCGCAACGAGCGCAACCCCUAUUGUUAGUUGCUACGCAAGAGCACUCUAGCGAGACUGCCGUUGACAAAACGGAGGAAGGUGGGGACGACGUCAAAUCAUCAUGCCCCUUAUAUCCUGGGCUACACACGUAAUACAAUGGCGGUCAACAGAGGGAAGCAAAACCGCGAGGCAGAGCAAACCCCAAAAAGCCGUCCCAGUUCGGAUCGCAGGCUGCAACCCGCCUGCGUGAAGUCGGAAUCGCUAGUAAUCGUGGGUCAGCAUACCACGGUGAAUACGUUCCCGGGCCUUGUACACACCGCCCGUCACACCAUGAGAGUCGGGAACACCCGAAGUCCGUAGCCUAACCGUAAGGAGGGCGCGGCCGAAGGUGGGUUCGAUAAUUGGGGUGAAGUCGUAACAAGGUA